UACGUAGGAGACGAGCGUUGUCCGGAAUUACUGGGCGUAAAGCGCGUGUAGGCGGAUGAGCAAGUCUGCUGUGAAAGCUCCUGGCUUAACCGGGAGUAGUCGGUGGAAACUGCUCGUCUGGAGGACGGUAGAGGUAGGUAGAAUUCCCGGUGUAGUGGUGAAAUGCGUAGAGAUCGGGAGGAAUACCUGUGGCGAAGGCGGCCUACUGGGCCGGACCUGACGCUGAGACGCGAAGGCGUGGGGAGCGAACGGG
This 253-nucleotide ribosomal RNA is filed under the name uncultured bacterium. RNAcentral describes it as "partial 16S ribosomal RNA". It matches the Rfam family "Bacterial small subunit ribosomal RNA", at positions 524 to 776 of the family's 1533-position model. The record is from RNAcentral.